Protopterus annectens (West African lungfish) is the source of this 1627-nucleotide long non-coding RNA. RefSeq lists it as uncharacterized. The transcript is spliced from 3 exons. Lineage: Eukaryota; Metazoa; Chordata; Ceratodontiformes; Protopteridae. The record is from RefSeq and is a predicted model, not a curated record.
GCAUGGCAACACAACAAACUGACCAAGAACAUGUAAAUUCUAGUGUUUCUACUCUCCAAGUUGCAUCUUUUGCUUCUAUAGUGAAUGGGAAUACAUCUACAUUGAAUAUGGAUAAAAAUUAGAAGUCAGAGGAACGAAGGAAUGCAAACACUAUAGGUGACAAGGACAGGACCUGUAAUCAUGCCCAAUGCAUUGAACAGAUGCACAGCUAGAAGAGCACCAGAUGGAGAGAGAGCAUGAGACCCAUGGACAAUCACCAAUCAGAUGUAGCUGACUAGUGCAUGCCAGGUCACUGCUGGAGUCCUCAGAUGAUGAUGACCAUGAGAAUGAUGUGAUGGAGAGGAAGCUGGACCAGCAUGUGCCAACAUCUCUGUUGCACCUUAGAGGAAACAACAUCAGGAACAACAGGAGAUGAUUAUAAGGAGUGGAUAUGUGAAGUGGUGACUGAUGUGUUUUGAACACAAAUGAUUGACAUGUUGGGGAUUUUUUUUGAGGAUAUGGAGCAGGCUAUGCAUGACUCAUUCAGAGACAUAGCACAAGAGAUCACUUGUAAUGUUCUUCUCCAUAAUGGCAGUCCCUCAGGUCCAUAUGUGGUGCCUGUGUGCUCCAGUUGUGUAAUGCUGCCAUUAUACUGUUUGACAUAUAAUUGAUUGGACUAUAGAUGCACUCGUCUGCAUGCAUGCCAUUUAGUUGCUAUACUUAUGUGGUACAUGUGGACACAUACAAUAUAGAUAUUGUCGUGUGACAUUUAAUUAUGUAUCACAUGUACAUGACACACAUUGGCACAUUACUACUGUUUCCUUCCACAUUCAGAUGCCCAUGCAUUGUAGCAGUUAGCAUGCAGCUACUGCUGCAACAAUUACCCUAUAAACAUGUGUUCUAUUAUGAGAAACUCACAGGCAACACAUGUUGUCCAUAGUUAGGCACUACCAUAGAGGUAUGGUUAAGAUUUGUGUAUUGCCAUAUCAUGUAUGUGCAACAGAAGGACAUAUCAUUGCCCAUGUGUUUUGGAUAAAAGUUGUCAUGUUAUCUUGCUGGGUCUCACUGGCAUGAUGUCAUGUUGUGUGGCAUGUUUUGGCAAUGCUGAUGGCAUGUUUGGUCAUACAAAGGUAUGAUAUACAUAUGGGCAGACAUUCUUUUCUGACUGCAUAGAAUGCCAGUUUAACAAUCAUGUAUAUACUGUGGUAAUGAUAAUUUAUUCAGUAAAAGUAAAGUAUACCAUGUUUGGUCUAUGUUACGUUUAGUAUCUCACCAGCCACCAACUCAUCCUAAAUCCAAAUAAGACCAAGCUCAUAAUUUUCCCUAAUAAAUCUUCCAAACCCAGUACCCCAAUCCCUCUCCAUACUAUCUAGCAAUGGUAUAAAAAUCAAACCCACCAAUCAGACCAAGCUGCUAGGGGUAACCAUAGAGGAUUCUCUAACAUUUGAUAAACACAUCUAUCUGACCAUCAAAAUAAUCCACUCUAAACUAAGCGCUAUAUACAGGGUUAAAUCUUACCUUACACAACAAACUAGAUUAACCCCACAGAACAUACCACUGUACUGCUGUCCUACAGCUCAACAGAUAACUAAAAACCCCAACCUGUCCACAUUUAAAACUACCCUGAAAGACUAUUUAAAUGAUAACU